This 200-nucleotide unclassified non-coding RNA is filed under the name soil metagenome. RNAcentral's name for it is "partial contains internal transcribed spacer 2 and large subunit ribosomal RNA". The record is from RNAcentral.
UGUUGCCGUGUGACAAACAAUGGCUCGUCUGAAAUGCCUGAGUGUACCCUGCUUCGCGGCGUAUUCGGUGUGAUAAAUCUUCACCGGAGUCUGACUCUCGAGUCGCGCUUGUAUUGUUGGCUCUAUGCUUCCAACCGUCCUAACAAGACAAUCUUUGACAAUUUGACCUCAAAUCGGGUGGGACUACCCGCUGAACUUAA